This 754-nucleotide ribosomal RNA is filed under the name uncultured bacterium. Its description in RNAcentral is "bacterial SSU rRNA". It matches the Rfam family "Bacterial small subunit ribosomal RNA", at positions 60 to 805 of the family's 1533-position model. The record is from RNAcentral.
AGUCGAGGGGCAGCAGGACUGUAGCAAUACAGUUGCUGGCGACCGGCAAACGGGUGCGGAACACGUACGCAACUUACCCAAAACUGGGGAAUAGCCCGGGGAAACCCGGAUUAAUACCUCGUAAGAUAAUGAAGUGGCAUCACUUUAUUAUUAUAGCUCCGGCGGUUUUGGAUGGGCGUGCGCCUGAUUAGGUAGUUGGCGGGGUAACGGCCCACCAAGCCUACGAUCAGUAACUGGUGUGAGAGCACGACCAGUCACACGGGCACUGAGACACGGGCCCGACUCCUACGGGAGGCAGCAGUAAGGAAUAUUGGUCAAUGGACGCAAGUCUGAACCAGCCAUGCCGCGUGAAGGAUGAAGGUCCUCUGGAUUGUAAACUUCUUUUAUAUGGGAAGAAAUCCAUCUUUUCUUGGAUGGUUGACGGUACCAUAGGAAUAAGCACCGGCUAACUCCGUGCCAGCAGCCGCGGUAAUACGGAGGGUGCAAGCGUUAUCCGGAUUCACUGGGUUUAAAGGGUGCGUAGGAGGGCAGGUAAGUCAGUGGUGAAAUCUCCAAGCUUAACUUGGAAACUGCCGUUGAUACUAUCUGUCUUGAAUACCGUGGAGGUGAGCGGAAUAUGUCAUGUAGCGGUGAAAUGCUUAGAUAUGACAUAGAACACCAAUUGCGAAGGCAGCUCGCUACACGAAUAUUGACUCUGAGGCACGAAAGCGUGGGGAUCAAACAGGAUUAGAUACCCUGGUAGUCCACGCCCUAA